UACGAAGGGUGCAAACGUUGCUCGGAAUUAUUGGGCGUAAAGCGCACGUAGGCGGAUUGCUAAGUCAGGGGUGAAAUCCUGGAGCUCAACUCCAGAACUGCCUUUGAUACUGGCGACCUUGAGUCCGGGAGAGGUGAGUGGAACUGCGAGUGUAGAGGUGAAAUUCGUAGAUAUUCGCAAGAACACCAGUGGCGAAGGCGGCUCACUGGCCCGGUACUGACGCUGAGGUGCGAAAGCGUGGGGAGCAAACAGG
Molecule: ribosomal RNA, 253 nt
Filed under: uncultured bacterium
Lineage: Bacteria
Description: partial 16S ribosomal RNA
Rfam family: Bacterial small subunit ribosomal RNA
Source: RNAcentral